UACAGAGGGUGCGAGCGUUGUUCGGAAUUACUGGGCGUAAAGCGCGCGCAGGCGGCCUUUUAAGUCUCGUGGUGAAAUGCCGGGGCUCAACCCCGUGCCCGCCGGAGAUACUGGGAGGCUGGAGACGAGUAGAGGCAAGCGGAAUUCCGGGUGUAGCGGUGGAAUGCGUAGAGAUCCGGAAGAACACCGGAGGCGAAGGCGGCUUGCUGGGCUCGGUCUGACGCUGAGGCGGCGAAAGCGUGGGGGAGCGAACAGG
Molecule: ribosomal RNA, 256 nt
Filed under: uncultured bacterium
Lineage: Bacteria
Description: partial 16S ribosomal RNA
Rfam family: Bacterial small subunit ribosomal RNA
Source: RNAcentral